GUUUUAAUAGUUUAUAAUAAAACCUUGGUCUUGUAAAUCAAAAAUAAGGAAUAUCCUUUUAAAACU
RNAcentral lists this transfer RNA (66 nucleotides) under Hemipenthes neimengguensis. RNAcentral's name for it is "tRNA-Thr". It matches the Rfam family "tRNA". Rfam says of the family: Transfer RNA (tRNA) molecules are approximately 80 nucleotides in length. Their secondary structure includes four short double-helical elements and three loops (D, anti-codon, and T loops). RNAcentral also lists the same sequence under 1 other name. The record is from RNAcentral. Lineage: Eukaryota; Metazoa; Arthropoda; Insecta; Diptera; Bombyliidae.